This 499-nucleotide ribosomal RNA is filed under the name uncultured bacterium. Its description in RNAcentral is "bacterial SSU rRNA". It matches the Rfam family "Bacterial small subunit ribosomal RNA", at positions 29 to 507 of the family's 1533-position model. The record is from RNAcentral.
AACGAACGUUAGCGGCGCGCUUAACACAUGCAAGUCGAACGAGAAAGGGCUUCGGCCCCGGUACAGUGGCGCACGGGUGAGUAACACGUGGGUAAUCUACCCUUGAGCGGGGAUAACGUUCCGAAAGGAGCGCUAAUACCGCAUAAGACCACGCUCUCGAAAGGGAGCGAGGUAAAAGUAGGCCUCUGAAUUCACGCUUACACUCGAGGAUGAGCCCGCGGCCCAUCAUGGUAGUUGGUAGGGUAAUGGCCUACCAAGCCGAAGACGGGUAGCUGGUCUUAGAGGAUGAUCAGCCACACUGGAACUGAGACACGGUCCAGACUCCUACGGGAGGCAGCAGUGGGGAAUCUUGCGCAAUGGGCGAAAGCCUGACGCAGCGACGCCGCGUGGGUGAUGAAGGCCUUCGGGUCGUAAAGCUCUGUGGGGAGAGACGAAUAAGACGUGGCUAAUAUCCACGGCGAUGACGGUAUCUCCUUAGCAAGCACCGGCUAACUCUGUG